Empidonax traillii (willow flycatcher) is the source of this 2516-nucleotide RNA transcript. It is a transcript of the gene named casein kinase I pseudogene, with no coding region annotated. The record is from RefSeq and is a predicted model, not a curated record. Lineage: Eukaryota; Metazoa; Chordata; Aves; Passeriformes; Tyrannidae. The transcript has a single exon.
GGAGCCACAGUGGGUGCGGAGAGAGCAGCGGCGGCCCCAGCCCAGCGCAGUCCAGCCCGGCCCGGCCCGCCCCGCCCAGGGAGCGCAGCGCCGGAGCAGGGUCAGUACAGAUAUGCCUGCCUGGCUGCUCCGCUGCUCCUGCGCCCCAGCACUUGCUGCCCUGUGAUUUUGGGUAACAAGGCUAAGAAGUUACAAAUCGUGCGGUAAGAACCCAAAAGUAACCUGCCUUUAUUGAAUUCUCAAGAACAUAAUCGACCCCUUGGUACAUUAUCAAGAUGCAUUAGGAAACUGGAUCCGGUGCCAAAAGAACUCCAUGAGUUUCCAUGACUCUCCUGAACCCUGACUCCAAUACUUUUGGAUAUAAAUUUCUCUUCUAAGGAGAAGGGUGUGUACUCCAAAUCCUUUCUGCCAGCUUGCUGGCAGAGAUAUUUCACUAAGAUCAUGGACCAUCCUAAUAGGGAUAAGGAUGAAAGGCAGCGGACGACGAAGGGAAUGCCGGGAAGGAGCGGGCAUGGUUCUCGACCAAGCUCAUCGGCAUCUUCUGGCGUUCUUAUGGUGGGACCCAACUUCAGAGUGGGCAAGAAGAUUGGGUGUGGGAACUUUGGAGAACUCAGACUAGGUAAAAAUCUCUAUACCAAUGAAUAUGUAGCGAUCAAACUGGAACCAAUCAAAUCCUGGGCACCACAACUUCAUUUAGAAUACAGAUUUUAUAAACAACUUGGAAGUGCAGCUGAAGGGUUUCCCCAGGUGUAUUACCUCAGGCCAUGUGGGAAGUACAACACCAUGGUACUGGAGCUGCUUGGUCCCAGCUUGGAAGAUUUGUUUGACCUCUGUGUUAGGACAUUCACCCUGAAGACGGUGUUGAUGAUCGCCAUCCAGCUGACCUCUCGGAUGGAAUACGUGCAUUCCAAGAACCUCAUCUACCGAGAUGUGAAGCCAGAAAACUUCCUCAUUGGCCGGCAAGGCAAUAAGAAGGAGCACGUCGUCCACAUCAUAGACUUUGGAUUGGCAAAGGAGUACAUUGACCCGGAAACCAAAAAACACAUACCUUACAGGGAGCACAAGAGCUUAACUGGAACGGCGAGAUACAUGUCCAUCAACACCCACCUUGGCAAAGAGCCAAGUCGUCGAGACAACUUGGAAACCCUGGGCCAUAUGUUCAUGUAUUUCCUCCGAGGCAGCCUGCCCUGGCAGGGACUGAAGGCUGACACCUUAAAAGAGAGGUAUCAGAAGAUCGGCGACACAAAGAGAAACACUCUGGUCGAAGUUCUCUGUGAGAACUUUCCAGAGGAGAUGGCCACGUACCUCUGCUACGUUCGGCGAUUAGACUUCUUUGAGAGGCCAGACUAGGAUUACCUGCGAACCAUCUUCACGGGGCUGUUUGAGAAGAGAGGCUACACCUUUGACUAUGCCUAUGACUGGGUCGGCAGGCCAAUUCCUACUCCUGUGGGAUCUGUUCAUGCAGAUUCUGGGACAUCUGCAGUAACAAGAGACAGCCACAUCCACCGGGAUCGACCAUCCCAGCAAGCCCUUCGCAAUCAGGCGUCGUCAGAUCGCCGAGGGGAGUGGGAGAUCCAGCCAAGCCGACAGACAAAUACCUCGUACCUGACAUCUCAUUUGGCUGCGGAUCGACACGGAAGAUCAGUGCAGAUGGUGAGCUCAACCAACGGGGAGCUGAAUGUGGACGACCCGACGGGAGCACACUCCAACGCGCCCAUCACAGCGCAGGCAGAGGUGGAGGUGGUGGAGGAAGCUAAGUGCUGCUGCUUCUUUAAAAGGAAACGGAAGAAGACGGCUCAGCAUCACAAGUGACCAGUGCCUCCUGGGCCUUGCAGGAACCACCGUUCCUGCAGCUCCUGCCCUGAAUCACUGGAAGGGGCUUCUCUUUAGGGGGGAGGAGGAGGAGGCAGAGGAGGAAGAGAGAAAAACAAACAAAAAAACAAAACCAAAAAAUCAAAACCAAGUGACAUUUUAAACCAAAAAGAGAAGAAAAAGUUCCAAAACAAACCACUCUGGGGUGGAUCUGCUGAAUGGUCUCCCUCGUUCACUCCAAGCCUGAAGCUCCUUUUGGGACCAGGACUGUGGCUGGCUCAGGUCUUGGUCGCCCUGGGAGGGGGGCUGGCUGGCUGACCCUCCUUCCCGUUGUUUACGGCAAAGGCAUCGUUCAUGCAAACCUGAGGACUGUGCUUAGUUCCUGCUCAUUUUCCUCCCCUCCCUCUCCUGUGCUCUAUGCUCCUCCAUCCUCCUCCCUCCUUAAUUAAUUGGAAGAAAUCCAAUAGGUUUGAUUGGCUGUCGAGAGGGCAGGAGGAUGCGAGGCAGGCAGGAGAGUUGCUGGGAGAAGGGCCUGAUCGCUGCAGCAGGAAGAGACAGGUUCCCUCUGCGACUCCUUGGGAACAGUUACACUGUAAUGUGCAAGCUGUGAGAAAUUUACAAUCUACUGUUCCAGUUAGGGGUUUUUUUUCCGGCUGCCUUGACACCUCCCUCCUCUGACGGUAACAGAGCAAUGUGGAUUGUUU